This 253-nucleotide ribosomal RNA is filed under the name uncultured bacterium. RNAcentral describes it as "partial 16S ribosomal RNA". It matches the Rfam family "Bacterial small subunit ribosomal RNA", at positions 524 to 776 of the family's 1533-position model. The record is from RNAcentral.
UACGGGGGGGGCAAGCGUUGUUCGGAAUUACUGGGCGUAAAGGGCUUGUAGGCGGCCAACUAAGUCAGACGUGAAAUCCCUCGGCUUAACCGGGGAACUGCGUCUGAUACUGGAUGGCUUGAGAUUGGGAGAGGGAUGCGGAAUUCCAGGUGUAGCGGUGAAAUGCGUAGAUAUCUGGAGGAACACCGGUGGCGAAGGCGGCAUCCUGGACCAUUACUGACACUGAAAAGCGAAAGCCAGGGGAGCAAACGGG